AUAGACUUUGAAUAUAUUUUAGUCUAAUGAAAAAAACAUCAUACAAUUCCUGGUUGACUUUAUUUUUAACAAAAUCUCUAAAUUCAUCAUACAAUUCCUGGUUGACUUUAUUUUUAACAAAAUCUCUAAAUUCUUUUAAUUCAAAAUCUUUUUUUUUUUUUUUAAAGCUGAAACAAACACACGCUUUAUUUCUUGAACUAUGUUUGUAGGCUUUGUUAACUUAGCAUAAACAACUCUAUCAUUCUUCUUCGCCGUCCAAAUUAACCAAAAAAUUGUAUGCCAACCCAAUAACACCCCCUUCUCCCAAUUUCCUUUCUGAGCCAAAGUAUAAAAAUAUCUCAAGCAAAUUGGUGAUUUUCUCCAUAAUCUCUAUCACCAAUCCAAGCCAUUUGAACACUUCGACAUAUAGAGCACUAGCAAAGCCACAUUUAGUGAACAAGUGAUCGCUCGAUCCCAACACCCCCUUACACCUUUUCGAAAGAUUUUUCCUUGUUGAAAGGCGAUCAAGAAGGAAUUGCCAAGAGAAUCUUUGUAUUGAUUGACUUAAUUGUUAGGAGGACAUCGACAAUAACAUUCAUACAUAUCACACUUUGCAACAAGAGGAGGGGCACACUUUUUUGUUGGACAAUCAAUGUCAAAAAUACAUUCAAGUAUUGCUGUGAUGUAAAAAAAAUUUGGUGAAUGUUAAAAGAUGUGGAUGAAAGAUUGUGUAUAAGAUAAAGAAGAAAAUUUACAAAGGGUUUUAAAAAGUUCUUACCACUCACGUCGAUUACAAUAAGAAAUAGUGCAAGAAAGAAGAUGACGAUAUAAUUAG
Molecule: long non-coding RNA, 814 nt
Filed under: Medicago truncatula (barrel medic)
Lineage: Eukaryota; Viridiplantae; Streptophyta; Magnoliopsida; Fabales; Fabaceae
Description: lncRNA gene31204
Source: RNAcentral